This 443-nucleotide ribosomal RNA is filed under the name uncultured bacterium. RNAcentral describes it as "partial 16S ribosomal RNA". It matches the Rfam family "Bacterial small subunit ribosomal RNA", at positions 338 to 795 of the family's 1533-position model. The record is from RNAcentral.
CCUACGGGUGGCAGCAGUGGGGAAUAUUGGGCAAUGGAGGAAACUCUGACCCAGCAACGCCGCGUGAAUGAUGAAGGUCUUCGGAUUGUAAAGUUCUUUUCUAAGGGAAGAAGAAAGUGACGGUACCUUAGGAAUAAGCCUCGGCUAACUACGGGCCAGCAGCCGCGGUAAUACGUAGGAGGGAAGCGUUAUCCGGAAUGACUGGGCGUAAAGGGUGCGUAGGUGGGGUGAUAAGUUAGUAGCGUAACUCCGAGGCUCAACCUCGGGACUGUUCCCGAAACUGGCGGACUUGAGUGCAGGAGGGGCAACUGGAAUUCCUAGUGUAGCGGUGGAAUGCGUAGAUAUUAGGAGGAACACCAGUGGCGAAGGCGAGUUGCUGGACUGUAACUGACACUGAGGCACGAAAGCGUGGGGAGCAAACAGGAUUAGAUACCCUUGUAGUC